Molecule: long non-coding RNA, 215 nt
Filed under: Glycine max (soybean)
Lineage: Eukaryota; Viridiplantae; Streptophyta; Magnoliopsida; Fabales; Fabaceae
Description: long non-coding RNA (GMAX_LNC003922)
Source: RNAcentral
GUCCCUACAAUUUAGUAUAUUUUUUUCAUUUUCAUCCAUGCAAAAAAAUUGUUUUAAUUCUUAAAAACGCGUUUAUGUUAUUUUUUGUCCUUAAAAUACUUUAAGCCACAUUUGGGUUGUUGUCAGUUUUAAGAUUUUGGUUUUGAAAUACAAUUUUAAAAUAGAAAUGUGUUUGUUGAGAUUAUUUUUUCCUAAAUUUUGAAACACUUUCCUUU